GAUGAACGCUGGCGGCGUGCCUAAUACAUGCAAGUCGAGCGAACGGACGAGAAGCUUGCUUCUCUGAUGUUAGCGGCGGACGGGUGAGUAACACGUGGAUAACCUACCUAUAAGACUGGGAUAACUUCGGGAAACCGGAGCUAAUACCGGAUAAUAUUUUGAACCGCAUGGUUCAAAAGUGAAAGACGGUCUUGCUGUCACUUAUAGAUGGAUCCGCGCUGCAUUAGCUAGUUGGUAAGGUAACGGCUUACCAAGGCAACGAUGCAUAGCCGACCUGAGAGGGUGAUCGGCCACACUGGAACUGAGACACGGUCCAGACUCCUACGGGAGGCAGCAGUAGGGAAUCUUCCGCAAUGGGCGAAAGCCUGACGGAGCAACGCCGCGUGAGUGAUGAAGGUCUUCGGAUCGUAAAACUCUGUUAUUAGGGAAGAACAUAUGUGUAAGUAACUGUGCACAUCUUGACGGUACCUAAUCAGAAAGCCACGGCUAACUACGUGCCAGCAGCCGCGGUAAUACGUAGGUGGCAAGCGUUAUCCGGAAUUAUUGGGCGUAAAGCGCGCGUAGGCGGUUUUUUAAGUCUGAUGUGAAAGCCCACGGCUCAACCGUGGAGGGUCAUUGGAAACUGGAAAACUUGAGUGCAGAAGAGGAAAGUGGAAUUCCAUGUGUAGCGGUGAAAUGCGCAGAGAUAUGGAGGAACACCAGUGGCGAAGGCGACUUUCUGGUCUGUAACUGACGCUGAUGUGCGAAAGCGUGGGGAUCAAACAGGAUUAGAUACCCUGGUAGUCCACGCCGUAAACGAUGAGUGCUAAGUGUUAGGGGGUUUCCGCCCCUUAGUGCUGCAGCUAACGCAUUAAGCACUCCGCCUGGGGAGUACGACCGCAAGGUUGAAACUCGAAGGAAUUGACGGGGACCCGCACAAGCGGUGGAGCAUGUGGUUUAAUUCGAAGCAACGCGAAGAACCUUACCAAAUCUUGACAUCCUUUGACAACUCUAGAGAUAGAGCCUUCCCCUUCGGGGGACAAAGUGACAGGUGGUGCAUGGUUGUCGUCAGCUCGUGUCGUGAGAUGUUGGGUUAAGUCCCGCAACGAGCGCAACCCUUAAGCUUAGUUGCCAUCAUUAAGUUGGGCACUCUAAGUUGACUGCCGGUGACAAACCGGAGGAAGGUGGGGAUGGCGUCAAAUCAUCAUGCCCCUUAUGAUUUGGGCUACACACGUGCUACAAUGGACAAUACAAAGGGCAGCGAAACCGCGAGGUCAAGCAAAUCCCAUAAAGUUGUUCUCAGUUCGGAUUGUAGUCUGCAACUCGACUACAUGAAGCUGGAAUCGCUAGUAAUCGUAGAUCAGCAUGCUACGGUGAAUACGUUCCCGGGUCU
This 1372-nucleotide ribosomal RNA is filed under the name uncultured bacterium. RNAcentral describes it as "bacterial SSU rRNA". It matches the Rfam family "Bacterial small subunit ribosomal RNA", at positions 28 to 1381 of the family's 1533-position model. The record is from RNAcentral.